This 58-nucleotide transfer RNA is filed under the name Longidorus vineacola. RNAcentral's name for it is "tRNA-Leu". Lineage: Eukaryota; Metazoa; Nematoda; Enoplea; Dorylaimida; Longidoridae. The record is from RNAcentral.
AUUAACAUGGCAGAUUAGUGCAUUGGAUUUAAGUUCCAAACAUGGGGUUCUGUUAAUA